UGUGCGAAUCGUAGGUGUUUUGCAAUAACAAUCUAACGAAAAACAAAAUCUAUGUACUUACAUAACAACAUGUGAGUCUGUUCACAUGAAACUGUCAAAAAAAAAGAAGAAAUAUCAAGAGGGAUGCAUGAAUGGGAGUAAAAUGAGCUGGCAUUGUUGGCUAACAGGUUGGCAGCGCAAAAUGGUAAACAAAAGGCAAGCAAAGUGAAGGCCCAGGAAACGGCAGCCUGAGCAGAGAAAAAAGCGCAAUAUUGCAUACAAUUUGCCUUUCGCCCUUUUGGCAAGAGAUGCCAAUGCGAAUGCCGGCCCGAAGGCUGCCACACAUGCUGCAACAAUGACACUUUGCAGUUGCAACAAAACGGAAGUAAUUUUGCGCAGGCAGCCAAUGGGAGACAAAAGGCUUGGGAAAACGGAGACCUGGCCCGACAGACAGACAUACUUCUCAUUGAUGAACACGUCUCUCGAUUGCUGUGUGUGUCUGUGUGUGUGUGUGUGCCUUUGGGCCGAGAUUGCCAGCCCGUAUGCGGCAUGAAUUAUGUGAGAAACUGUUGGGCUAAGUAGAUAGUUGAUAGAUGAUAUGUGGGUUACACGGAAGUAAACCUAAACGUGUAUGUAAACCAAACCCGAACCCAAACCCAAAUCCAAGACGUAAUUGAAACAUUCUGAGACACGGAAGUGUUUUGGCAGAUUCUCAGGCAGCCGGCAGCUGUGACAGUUUUUCUGUGUGUCUCUUUAUUAAGCCAACAGUUCUAUUGAACACGGGUAAAGAGAUUUAGACGUUUGGCAUAUAUAUCACAUAAUUUUGGCUGAGCAAAUAUUUGUUGCUAAAAUUGGUUAAAGGCAUUUCUUGUAAGCAAUUUUGAUUAAUGCGCAUUCAGCCUUAGCCAGGCCAAAAUCGUCUUGCUGUUAUCCAAACUCAACCUGAUUAUCAGCCAUAGCUACGCCCAUAUUAAUCAAGCAGCAAGCCAGCUCUCUGUUGCUAACUGAAGUGAAAUAAAGAGAGGCAAAAACUUUUAUUCUCUGCUGUUUAACACCUGAAGGCCUACUACUCAUAUUUCCAAUAGAUUUUUGUAGUAAGAUACGAGUUCAAGGCCUAGAUUGAAUAAUAUUCAGUGUUUGCUGUUCAUAUUGGUGAUUUGUUUACAUUUCAGUUUAGUUGAAGUUUAUAAAAAUAAAACUCAAUUCGGCAAAUCGGAAGAACAAACUCUCCAUUCAAGCCACAAAAUCGUGCGCGGCAUUAAUGCAAACGCUGAUCUCUAGGGCAAACAAGAGAGAGAGAGAGAAAAAAUCAUAUGCAAAGCAUCAGAGAUAACAAAAAUAAGAAAAAAUCGAAUACACGUAAAGCCGAAUGCAAACAAUUAGUAU
Molecule: long non-coding RNA, 1365 nt
Organism: Drosophila mojavensis
Lineage: Eukaryota; Metazoa; Arthropoda; Insecta; Diptera; Drosophilidae
Exons: 2
Source: RefSeq, a predicted model, not a curated record